Molecule: transfer RNA, 62 nt
Filed under: Curculionidae sp. 5 AH-2016
Lineage: Eukaryota; Metazoa; Arthropoda; Insecta; Coleoptera; Curculionidae
Description: tRNA-Glu
Source: RNAcentral
AUUUGUAUAGUUUAAAAAAAACACUAUAUUUUCAUUAUAGAAUUAGAUUUUUCUUAUAAAUU